This 973-nucleotide ribosomal RNA is filed under the name Cochliomyia macellaria (secondary screw-worm). RNAcentral describes it as "eukaryotic LSU rRNA". It matches the Rfam family "Eukaryotic large subunit ribosomal RNA", at positions 104 to 901 of the family's 3401-position model. Lineage: Eukaryota; Metazoa; Arthropoda; Insecta; Diptera; Calliphoridae. The record is from RNAcentral.
UAGUUCAGCACUAAGUCACUUUGUCUUAAUGGCAAAUGUGAGAUGCAGUGUAUGGAAUGUCAAAUUUCUAGUAUGAGAAAUUAACGAUUUAAGUCCUUCUUAAAUGAGGCCAUUUACCCAAAGAGGGUGCCAGGCCCGUAUAACGUUAAUGAUUACUAGAUGGCAUUUCCAAAGAGUCGUGUUGCUUGAUAGUGCAGCACUAAGUGGGUGGUAAACUCCAUCUAAAACUAAAUAUAACCAUGAGACCGAUAGUAAACAAGUACCGUGAGGGAAAGUUGAAAAGAACUCUGAAUAGAGAGUUAAAUAGUACGUGAAACUGCUUAGAGGUUAAGCCCGAUGAACCUGAAUAUCCAUUAUAGAAAAUUCAUCAUUAUGAUUUUAAUAUUUAUAAUAUUAUAAUAAUGGUGUGCAUUUUUUCUAUAAAAGGACAUUGUAAUCUAUUAACAUCAAAUAUUUAUCAAAAGAUCAAUUGCAAAAGUUUAUUCAAAUUAUUUUGCUUGCAAUUUAACAUAGAAUAAAUGCUUUUGAUUUGAUAAAGUGUUGAUAGAUUUAUUAUAUAUAGUGCUUGAAUAUUUAUAUUCUAUAAUAGCAUAUUAAUCAUUGAUUUUUAUGUUUAUUAUAUGCACUUAUAUGAUUAACAAUGCGAAAGAUUCAGGAUACCUUCGGGACCCGUCUUGAAACACGGACCAAGGAGUCUAACAUAUUUGCAAGUUAUUGGGAAUAAAAACCUAAUAGCGAAAUUAACAUAACUUAUUUAAUGGGAUUAAUUUUUAGCCUAUUUAUAGUCUAUUAAUUCAAUCCCGGGGCGUUCUAUACAGUUAUGUAUAAUAAUAUUUAUAUUAUUUAUACCUCUAACUAGAGCGUACCUUGAGCAUAUAUGCUGUGACCCGAAAGAUGGUGAACUAUACUUGAUCAGGUUGAAGUCAGGGGAAACCCUGAUGGAAGACCGAAACAGUUCUGACGUGCAAAUCGA